RNAcentral lists this ribosomal RNA (502 nucleotides) under uncultured organism. RNAcentral's name for it is "SSU rRNA". It matches the Rfam family "Bacterial small subunit ribosomal RNA", at positions 10 to 509 of the family's 1533-position model. The record is from RNAcentral.
AGUUUGAUCCUGGCUCAGGAUGAACGCUAGCGGCAGGCUUAACACAUGCAAGUCGAGGGGCAGCGGGGUAGCAAUACCCGCCGGCGACCGGCGAAAGGGUGCGUAACGCGUGAGCAACUUGCCCGUAUCCGGGACAUAAGCGGUGGAAACGCCGUCUAAUUUCCCAUAACAACAGGGGCUGCAUGGCCUUUGUUUGAAAGAUCCGUCGGAUACGGAUGGGCUCGCGAGACAUUAGCUGGUUGGUGAGGUAACGGCCCACCAAGGCGACGAUGUCUAGGGGUUCUGAGAGGAAGGUCCCCCACACUGGAACUGAGACACGGUCCAGACUCCUACGGGAGGCAGCAGUGAGGAAUAUUGGUCAAUGGACGCAAGUCUGAACCAGCCAUGCCGCGUGAAGGAUUGAGGCCCUAUGGGUCGUAAACUUCUUUUGUGGUGGAGCAAUAAGGCGUACGUGUACGCCGAUGAGAGUACAUCACGAAUAAGCAUCGGCUAACUCCGUGCC